CAACUUGCAUGAAAAUACUAACUCUUGCUGACCUAAUUUACUUUAAUAAAAAUGUUGAAAAUACUAACCCUUGCAAAAAUUUAAUAUGCAACAACACUCCCUUCAUAAUCUUUGAGUCACUUGGUUUUACCUUGGAAUAACACCAAAAAGUGGUCAACAGUAAUAUAAGUCUAAAUAGCAUGAAUUUUUACAACAUUUUUUUAAAUAGAGUUUGUGUGUCCAAUAAAUAUAUAGGUAUAAUUUCCCCUGCUUAGGGAUACUUUCCAACACAUGUAACUGGAAAAUUCCAUGGGAUAUCCAUGCUUAAAUGAAAUAAUACCUUGAUCCAAUCAUGAAGUAGAGAAAUAACUCUUGCAUUCUCCUAGUUCAUCCAAAGUUACUAUAGCUCCUGAAAAUCAUUUAAAAUAUAUUUAGAAAGACAAAAAUCAGAAGAACAAAACUAACAUCCAAAACUUAUUUUAAGAGUAGUUAGGAUCUCUUGGUUUUUUUUAUCAGCUAAUUAAAUUAAAGGAUACUUAAGGGGCCCUUUAACAAAAAAAUGCAAAAGCAACAAAGAUGUUCUAAUCAUCUAUGUCUCUAUUACAACCCUACACUAGUGCUUAUAACAGAGAAAUGCGCAGCUAAGAAUCCCUUUAAUGCAUCAUCAGUGCAUAAACAAGACAACACUAUAUUCCACACAUUAUGCAUCACCCUAAAAAUUCAGAAAGCACAACACUUUAAUUACAUAGGACAGAACCAGUGGUGACACUAACAAGUCAGAGGAGCAUUAUCCAAACUUCACAACAUGACCAUGAUUAGGAGGGCCUCUGGAAAACUCCCACUAGAGAAUGAUGUGAUUGGAGGAUAUGUAACUAUAAUACCAUAAAGCAUGCCACCUUCCAUCAGAAUUCCACCGCAAUACGAAAUGACUUAGCCAUGAUACUUCCUCGUGCAUAAAGAUAUGUGCCUGUUUUAUGUGUGGUAGGAAUUGAUUUCUAGACAACACCUGCAUCAACUGCAUAGACGAAUACCGCAGAAAAUAUAACAGUUUAAGGCUCCUUAGUGCAAAACGCAGGUAAUAACCAGCCAUCAAAGGAAAGGAUGAGCAAAAAACAUAUUUCAUAUCUAGAUAGAGUGAACAACCGCAUGUCCCAGGGCAUGGUUAAAUAAUGUUGCUACAAAUUCCUCGAGCCUACUCUCAUAUAUCACAAAGUAUAUCAUAAAUGAUUUUGUGGUUUUUUUCAUAAUGUUCAAAAGGGGAUUGUAUGGUAAAACUGAAAUUGUUAUAUGCUAAAGUUUUGGAAUUUGAUUAAUAUUAUUAUUGGGUUGUUAAGAUUUAAUUAGUUAGGAUUUUAUCAUUUAUUUAUUUUAUUAGGAUUUUAUCAUUUAUUUAUUUUAUUAGGAUUUUAUCAUUUAUUUAAUUAGUUAGGAUUUUAUUAGGAUUUUAUUGGGAUUUUAUGAUAUUUAGUACUCUAUAAAUAGAGUAUUGAACUAUUAUUUGAGAUAUGAAUAAUAUAUGCAAUUUGUUUCCUUUUCUCAAUUCUCUAUCAAUUCUCUAUCAUUGUUCUUGUUCUUGGUAUAAUCGGAAACCACCUAAAGGUUCCCUUUGUCCAAAGCCUAAUCGUUCUUCGAAAUCUCUUACGAGAUGACCUAGACGCUUCUACACACGAUCGUUCAUAUCAAUUGGUAUCAGCUAGGACCUUCCAGUACUUUCAAUGGCAGAUUCAACACGCUUCGCUCAAGCUGCUAAGGAGAUGGAAGAUCGAAUCUCCCAAAGGAUGGAUAAUAGGUUUCUGGAACUCGCGAAUACGUUGAAGGAAACCUUGACUCUUUCUAUAAAAGACACCAUGCAGGAAUUACUUACUCAAUCUCAAGGAGAAGGGGCCCAUGGCCUCUCCAAUGACAACAUGGGGUUUGGUGCAAUAUGCGAUGAUCCCAUGGUUGAGUUGUUGCGUUUACGACAAAAGACUUCAGUUGAUGCCUAUCAUGAAGAGUUCAAUUCAAUCAUUACAACAUUGAAGUUAUCUGAUGAUCAUAUUCUAGGGUGCUUCCUUGGUGGAUUAAAGAAAGAAAUCCAGAUGAUGGUAAGAAUGUUCCGACCUCAGUCUCUACAACAUGCGUUUACAUUGGCCAGGACGUAUGAAGGACAUAAUUCAAGCAAUUCGAUGGCCAAAUUCCACAGGGGAGUCUUGGGUCCAGCACCAGUGCCUAUAUCGUCGUCUGCUUCAAUCAAUGUGGCCCCUAAACCCAAACCAACACACCACUUCCCACUUGAGUUCAUAGCAGAACGUAGGGCCAAAGACCUUCUUCACGUCAUGGAGAUGGAGGAAGAUGACUCAUAUGAUAGUCCUCCCAGUUAUGUGACUGAAUUAUUGCAAAGGAAUGAGCCACAAAUCACAGUCAACGCAUUAACCAUAGUGGUUGGGUUCAGAACCAUGAGAAUAGUUGGAUAUCAUAAAAAACGACCUUUACAUAUUCUCAUUGAUAGUGGCAGCACUCAUAAUUUCAAAGAUACCCAAAUGGAUAAAAAAUAUGGGUGCAUAAUUGAUACGAUUGCCCAUUUGAAUGUCAUGGUAAGCUGAGCUCUACCACAAACCUUAAAAAAAUUAAGAAGGUUUUUGGGCUUAGCUGGAUAUUAUAGAAGAUUUGUUCGUGGGUAUGACGUCAUUGCUACACCUGAUAUGCUUAAGAAGGAUAAUUUCAUUUGAAGACGAAGUACCAUUGUUCCAUUCUUGAGGGCAAGAAUGUUGUUGAGGGGAGGGCAUUGUUAUAUGCUAAAGUUUUGGGAUUUGAUUAAUAUUAUUAUUGGGUUGUUAAGAUUUAAUUAGUUAGGAUUUUAUCAUUUAUUUAUUUUAUUAGGAUUUUAUUAGGAUUUUAUCAUUUAUUUAAUUAGUUAGGAUUUUGUUAGGAUUUUAUUAGGAUUUUAUGAUAUUUAGUACUCUAUAAAUAGAGUAUUGAACUAUUAUUUGAGAUAUGAAUAAUAUAUGCAAUUUGUUUCCUUUUCUCAAUUCUCUAUCAAUUCUCUAUCAUUGUUCUUGUUCUUGGUAUAAUCGGAAACCACCUAAAGGUUCCCUUUGUCCAAAGCCUAAUCGUUCUUCGAAAUCUCUUACGAGAUGACCUAGACGCUUCUACACACGAUCGUUCAUAUCAGAAAUCGAGAAAGAAAAACUCAAAAAAAUUUAUUCCAAUCAAAUAAUCUUACCUCUGACGGUAGGGUUUGACUCGCUAAUGGAUGCACUAUUCUUUGCCACUUCACUACUUCGAUUUUUCAAAGUUAGGGUUGAAUACGAAAAUCGUGUGCUCUCAAAUGGGGAAGCUUCACUCUUAGAUUUCGAUUUUGGGUUUCGAUUUGGCAACGAGUUUCAUACAUUGGAUUUGGAAACCAGUAAGCUUUGGGAUUUCGCUUUUGGGAUUUGGCUUUUGGAUCUGGGAACAAAGUUCAGAGCUUUAAUUUGGAAACAUGGUUGAAAGUUUUGAUUUGUGAACGCAAUUUAGAGGUUUGAUCUGGCAACGACGUUCAGAGCUUUGGUUUGGAAACAACCUUCAGAGGUGAGAUUAAGAGGUUCAAAGGUGUUCUCAUUCAGGAUGGGCAUUUGUUUCUGAAACCAAAACAUUUUCAAAAUUUUCCAAACAAAAAAAA
Molecule: long non-coding RNA, 3619 nt
Filed under: Phaseolus vulgaris (common bean)
Lineage: Eukaryota; Viridiplantae; Streptophyta; Magnoliopsida; Fabales; Fabaceae
Description: long non-coding RNA (PVUL_LNC002501)
Source: RNAcentral